This 305-nucleotide unclassified non-coding RNA is filed under the name plant metagenome. Its description in RNAcentral is "partial contains 5.8S ribosomal RNA, internal transcribed spacer 2, and large subunit ribosomal RNA". The stretch from base 1 to 105 matches the Rfam family "5.8S ribosomal RNA", at positions 50 to 154 of the family's 154-position model. The record is from RNAcentral.
GAAAUGCGAUAAGUAAUGUGAAUUGCAGAAUUCAGUGAAUCAUCGAAUCUUUGAACGCACAUUGCGCCCGCCAGUAUUCUGGCGGGCAUGCCUGUUCGAGCGUCAUUUCAACCAUCAAGCCCCCGGCUCGUGUUGGGGACCUGCGGCUGCCCGCAGGCCCUGAAAAACAGUGGCGGGCUCGCUGUCACACCGAGCGUAGUAGCAUACAUUCUCGCUCAGGGCGUGCUGCGGGUUCCGGCCGUUAAACGACCUUCAUAACCCAAGGUUGACCUCGGAUCAGGUAGGAAGACCCGCUGAACUUAAGC